GCAUUCGUGGUGUAAUUGAAGCACACUCGACUGGUAUUCGAGAGGUCCCGGUUCGAGUCCCGGAGAGGGCA
Molecule: transfer RNA, 71 nt
Filed under: Stegodyphus mimosarum
Lineage: Eukaryota; Metazoa; Arthropoda; Arachnida; Araneae; Eresidae
Rfam family: tRNA
About the family: Transfer RNA (tRNA) molecules are approximately 80 nucleotides in length. Their secondary structure includes four short double-helical elements and three loops (D, anti-codon, and T loops).
Source: Rfam by way of RNAcentral